Rattus norvegicus (Norway rat) is the source of this 5420-nucleotide non-coding RNA. Lineage: Eukaryota; Metazoa; Chordata; Mammalia; Rodentia; Muridae. The record is from RefSeq and is a predicted model, not a curated record.
UCUGUGCAGGAUGUAAAGUGAAUAAAAUGAAUGGGGCAUUAACCUCCAACCGCUGAAUAUUAAUCAGCUUUUCCUACGAAAGAAAACACACAGCCUGCCAUACUAAAUAUUUUCAGCGCUUAUUGACAGGAUAUGAUUUCCUUUCUCCCUCAGCCCCGCUUCUCCCAGUCAAAGGCCCGAACACCGGACAAUGGUCAACUUGACACAGAUUAAUGUGUGAUUUGAAAGGGCUCGGGUUCCAGGCCAAGGGGUGGGUAGAAUUCUCAAUGUGUUGGACCCGAUGAAAUGAUAGGAUGUUAUCAAAGGCAUAGCUGUCUUCUCGUCCUUCCAACAAACACGAGCCAAGCUGAGCCCAAAGGGACUUCACAGAGAGACCACGCGUGGGACCUGAUAACCUCGAGGAAUCCUGAUACCAAGCCCGAGCUUGCCUUGGCAGGUGAAGUAAUACACAGUCCUGGAAGGUAUACUAAAAACCCUAGGAAGAAGACAGAGUGAUUCAGCCUGAAUAUGGAGAAGAGAAUCCAGGGACUCGAGGCAGUUCCUUAAUGGGAGAGCUUUAUUUGUAGGAUCUUAGCAUCCUUCCCCACUCUGCCCUUCUGCAUUCCGCUAGUACUGCCAGCGUCAUUGCUUUGGUCGUGGACUUUCCUGUGCCCAUCAUUCUCAAGCCAGAGCCAAAUACAGCUGUUGCCGUCUACUGGGACCAAACCACACAUCCAACCCCGUUCCAAGUCACCUCAUCAGAAAACCCAGAGCUUGGGCAACUCAGGACUCUUCUGCUGGAGCAGACUCUGUGGACCACUCUCUAGCAUGUGCAGGGUCCUGAAAUGGGAAAACCUGUUCACAAGGUGUCUUGUCUCCGUUGAUAAGGAUGUGGAUCCACACUCUCCAGCUUGGGGAAGGACAUCCACGAAGGAGCAAAAUCACCCGCAUAGCAAUUCCAGAAUCCACAGAGGGUGAGACGCCCUCUUUGAGAAUUUGUUUUUGGGAGUUGCAGGUAGAUCUCAAUGGUUAGAGCACUUGGUACUCUGCAGAGGACUUGGGUUUAUUUCUCAACUUCCACUCUGGCGGAUCACAACCACCUACAACUUCAGAUCCAGCACAUGUGACCCUCUCUCUGGUCUUUGUGUACACACACACACACACACACUUCAGCAAGGACAUGGAAAGUGGUCAGCUUCGAAAGGUACAUAUCUUCUCAAACUCUGAAGUCUUCUUCCAAGCCCUACUACUUCAUAAACCUGUUCCAGAAAGACAGACCAAACAGGAUUAAGACAUUUUUUUUCAGCAGCCCUCACACCAGCGCUACUUAAAAUGUCCACCCUCUAUCCUGGCAUUUAAUGCAAUUUUUUCCCUACAGGACAGAGAGUAAGGAUGAUAACUGAAAACGAGUGGGAUGUGACAGAGAUCUCUCCCACUCAGCCUCCCAAAAUUACCUGAAGCAUCCACGCACACGCAAUCACUUUCCCCAGUGAGAAAAUGGCACACUCUCAUGUAUUUCCUCAGAGACUGGGUUUUCCAGCACAGCCUUUCUUCGAGAAAAGGCUGCAUUCAAGGAAGCAACUGAGAGCACUUCGAGGCGGGGCUGUCCCUCUUUCAAAUGCAGACAGAAUUAGUUUGUUUCCAUUAACUCCUUAUCAAGUUCCCAGACUUUGAUUCACCACCACAAAAUAUAUUUUUAGAAGGGGCGGGGGUGGGGAGGGCUGGUAGAUUUUUCAGGAAAUAGCAAGUUAAGUUUUUUACCUACUGUGAAGAAAUCAUUUGGCAAGCCAGGAUGAAAUGCUUCUAACGUCAGUUUUUUGUUUUUCUGGGGGGAGAGGGUGUAUAGCAUGGAGGGUUGGAAGGAGGGAGGGGAGGAAGAGAGGGAGGGGGGAAAGAGGAAAGAGGAAGGAAGGAGGAAGGGAGGGAGGGAGGGAGAAUGGAGGGGAGAGAUAGAGCGCAUCCAACAAUGAGCUUUUCUAGAAGACUCCUACAGGAAGCCUCCCCAGUCAGUGGUCCACCCAGCAUUGCCUGCACUGAGAAUGUGAACCUUAGUAGAGCUGAGGUGGAAGCAAAGGGAGGAGUGGGGGUAUUGAGGUCUGAAGGAGGGAGAAGAACUUCAUUCCCUCCAUCUAUCCGAGUCUAAGGAGUGAGUCCUAGUUUUUCUUCUCCUUCGGAAAAGUAUUAGAUGAGCCUCUUUUCUCAUUGCUUUGAAGAAAUACCUAGAAAACUGGGGGAGUGCCUUGACUACCUACCUUCAUGCUCGUUGAUGUGGAAAGGCUGUGGGUUGCACCAUUUCCUGAGUUUGGUUCCUGAAUUGUAUGAGUAAAGAAAGCAAGCUGACUCCAAGCAUGCAUUCAUUCUCUCUGCCUUAACUAUGGAUAGGAGGAGUCGCUUUGAGCACCUGCCGCCUUGAUUUCCCCAUGAUGCUGGACUGUCUGGUGCUUUAAAGAUGACCAUCAUAGACUCUGGUAAUGGGAUAUCUGGUCCCCUGGUGGCGUCACUAAUCAGGGAGGGUAUGGAUCCUUUAAGAGGUGGAGCCUUGCUAGGAGACAUGUGUCACUGGGGGCAGGCUUUGGAAAUGUAUAGCCUGCCCCAACUUCAAAUCCACCUGCUCUGUUUCACUUUUGGUUGACAAUGUGGACUCUGGGCUUCCUACUCCAGCCUCUUGUGGCUGUGCCUCCCCCACCACAAUGGACUGUCCCUUACUCUGGAACCAUAGACCAAUAUAAACUCUUCCCUCCAGAAGUCCCUUUGGGCCAUGGCGUCUUUCUCACAUGAGCAGAAAGUAACUAAUACCGACCCUGGGACUGUGAGCUGAAAUGCCUUCUUUCCCUCCUAAGUUGCUGUGUUUUAUCAAAGUUAUGGAAAUAGGACCAAAUGACUAAACCCUCUUCCCAAAAGCUUUCUCCUUCCCUUUAUGUCAAUGUCACUGUGGAGUAUCAUAAGCCCAUAUCUCGUCUGCUAAACCUCCACACCUCACUGCUCUUGGCAAGGCAGGCUGUACUGAACAAGUGAGUUUUUCACCUUGUAUUAACCUGUUGUCUUUUCCCUACGAUGCAUCCUUUGAAAUCUUAGAUAAUGUCUACAUUUCGUUGAUAUCACAAAUCCCCUUUCUAGGCCAUUACACCACAUGGAGAAAGUAUAAAGAGUAGAUUGGCAGCCCCCACAGCAUGGUGUCCAUGGUCAGAUACAUUCCUCAGCCCUCCUGUGAGGAGGUGUCAAGGUGUGGUAUGAAAAUGGCGAUACCUAGUUCCCAACGUGUGGUCAGUAUUAAAUGAGCCCAUCAACGUAAGACUCUUAGGAGGCAGGCAUGUGCACUAAACACACAUCUGGUUGCUGUAAUGGUUCUGACUAUCCUUAUUUUGUUGAGUUUCGCCACCUCGGUAUCUAUUUGGUAAACCUUAGCUAAUUCACCAGCCCUUAUGGAAUAAGUCCUUUGUGUUUAAGCACGGGGUCACUGGGCAGAGUAUCAGCAAACUUCUCCUCAGAGUGGUUACCAACCUACUAAGAAAAGAGUAGAACUGCAGGAGAGAAUCUUUGCUUCAGACCCACUUAAGCAAGCCAUGUCUGGAUGCUUGAGAGGCCAGCUUUUUCCCAUUCUGAGAACACAUGGCUCCCAUUAGCUUACUGAUACUGACAUAUCCGAGCCUUCCAAACUGCUCUGGGCCUCUGAUGAGUGAAAGGUUUGCACGCCUAACAAGGAAAAGAGGGCUGCACAGGCAAAGAAAUGCUGCCAGGAGUGGGGUGUGGAGGUGUUGAGUUUAGGUAGGAGACGGAAUUAGGCGUUGCUUUCAAUGACUGACCUGUCCACACCUGUCCAUAAACUAGCCACACCUGGUGAAGUUUCUAUGGCUGCCCCGAUGCAGACACUGGUGCGAGUCUACAAGCCUCCGUUACUCAGCAGGCGAGUCCAGUCAAACAGAGAACGUCGAAGGUAAACGCACGGCGUCCGUGAGGUCUCUAAUCCAAAGCAAACCCUGGGUGAAAAGCACAAAUGCUCCUUUUAUUUUGUGUGCUAAGGGCAUCCCUGCCUAGUUGGGCUGUGGAAAAAACAAGCCUGAAUGCUAAUUAAUUUGCAGUUGGAACGUGUAUGGUGGGAAUUCAAUCCUAUGAUAACCGUUAUCAUCAGCUUCCUAACGUCAAAGCCACAGGGUCCACCUUUACACAGCCCAGAGACUCGAGACAUCUCAUCAGACAGAAGAAAUGACAGAGCCAAACCCGACCUGAGAAAUUAGGACGAAUGCUUUGUUCUAGAUUGUAUCCCCAAGGGAAUGGGGCUUUUUUUUUCUUUCUCUCGAUUAAGGAGGAGGACCUAUGUACUCUGGCCGUUUUAUCUCUCAAGGCACUUGUAGUUUGAAACAAUAAGGCAAAGGCAAGCAAGCAAUGGUGGUUAAAGAGUCCUGAGGAGACAUUUGCUUCCAGUUGGAGGCACAUAACCUUUAUCCUGCACCAAGUCAUUUGGGUCCCAUGAGCUCGAUAUCCCUACCGAGCUAGGAGAAGCACUAUUUCUUGCCUGCUUUACCUGUGAAGAAAUCAGACCGAAAGAAUUAAUUCCCCUCCAUUUGAAUCCUGACUCCUGCCAAAAUCCUACUUAAAGCCCAAGAAAAUCUCUCUACCCUGUGUCUUCAUGCCCUCAUCCACCAAAUGUGAAAAAUAAAAUAAAACCACUUGCCACUGUUGGGCUUCAUGAGGUAACGAGAUGCCUACUAGUGUUAAAGUGCUGGCUGAUCCCCUGACAGACAGACGGAGGUUUUUACAAAGUGUUUGCCGCUGUGAUUAUGAGGAAGGGGGGCAGGAAAAGUUGAUGAUUUAGAACUGAAAAUAUCUGUAGGAAGAAAUGACCAACUUACUUUACUCACUUGUUCGGGACUCAGGGGUUAUCUAUGAGUUCCCUUGGGCUUCCCAAAUGCUAGAACCAAGAGAGCUGUGGGCAUGCCCAGACAACUGGUCACCCUCCACAAAGUUGGUCUGGAUAGGUCUCAUGUAAUAGAAGGAAUUUUAGUUAUUCUGCGGAGGAAAGGUUUCACAGCUGGUCCAACUAGAUAGUGUUGUUAAAUGUGGACUUUUAAGCCAUAGACAGCAGCACUACCUGGAGGUUUGCCUUAUAGGGGGGCAAUGGCAGUAUGUCAGGUAAUGAAAUAUCUGACCCUCCCUUUGCUACCUGGACUGUGUUUUUAUUGUUGUUGUUAACUACCAUUCUAGUGUUUUAGGGAGUCUCUCCCUUGUUUUAUAGCUGCUAUUCUCCCAUGCGGAUUCGAAGCACAUUCUGAUGUGCUCACCCCUCCACUUUUGUUUUUCUAGUCUACCUCUUGGAGGGAUGGAUGCCGUCUGCACGAUCAACUCUAAAACAACCAAGACUCACUUUCUUGGAGAGCUUUGUUGUAGGUUGAAUAUCUCUAAUCUGAAAACACACAUUCUUAAGAUGCUCCAAACGCUGGCCC